UAGCUCAGUUGGUAGAGCAUGGUGUUUGCAACGCCAGGGUUGUGGGUUCGUUUCCCAU
This is a non-coding RNA of Salmo salar (Atlantic salmon), 58 nucleotides long. Lineage: Eukaryota; Metazoa; Chordata; Actinopteri; Salmoniformes; Salmonidae. The record is from Rfam.